CUCCCUCUGACUCGGGGAUAACAUUGCGAAAGCGAUGCUAAUACCGGAUGACAUCACGAAAACUCGGUUUUUUUGAUCAAAGGUGGCCUCUACAUGUAAGCUUCCGAUUAGAGAUGAGCCCGCGUACCAUUAGCUUGUUGGUGGGUAACGGCCUACCAAGGCUGCGAUGGUUAGCUGGUCUGAGAGGAUGAUCAGCCACACUGGAACUGACACACGGUCCAG
Molecule: ribosomal RNA, 222 nt
Filed under: uncultured bacterium
Lineage: Bacteria
Description: partial 16S ribosomal RNA
Rfam family: Bacterial small subunit ribosomal RNA
Source: RNAcentral